This 809-nucleotide unclassified non-coding RNA is filed under the name Hevea brasiliensis (rubber tree). The record is from RNAcentral. Lineage: Eukaryota; Viridiplantae; Streptophyta; Magnoliopsida; Malpighiales; Euphorbiaceae.
CUCCACAAACAAUGACAAACCAGACAAUCAGUAGAAUUUUAAGGCCCCUCUUAUUUUACCCCUAUAUAACUAACUAGGAUCCUCUGUCUAAUAUAGGUACCUCUGUAAAGGUGAUGCUUUGAAUCCAAAUCCUAGNNNNNNNNNNCAAUGGCUGCUGCUACAGUUGUUCCAGUAGCAUACCAACAGGGAAGCCCAGCUGCACCUGAAUGGCUGAACAAAGGCGACAAUGCAUGGCAAAUGAUCUCUGCAACAUUAGUCGGCAUGCAAGGCAUGCCAGGGUUAGUGAUCCUUUAUGCUGGCCUCGUCAAGAAGAAAUGGGCUCUUAACUCAGCAUUUAUGGCACUCUAUGCCUUUGCCGCUGUCAUGCCUUGCUGGGUCCUUUGGGCUUACAAAAUGUCCUUUGGUCAUCAGCUCCUUCCAUUUUGGGGCAAAGCUGGCCUUGCAGUCUCUCAAGACUUCUUGAUUCCUCAAACUAUUCUCCCAUCAACGGAUUACAAAAAUGUUUCUGCAGCUCAACCACUGUAUCCCACAUCUACCAUGGUCUUCUUCCAGUUUGCUUUUGCAGCCGUGACAGUUAUACUCCUUGCUGGAUCAGUUUUAGGCCGGAUGAGCAUCAAAGCUUGGAUGGUCUUUGUACCACUAUGGAUCACCUUCUCCUACAGCGUUGGAGCCUUCAGCAUAUGGGGCGGAGGCUUCCUCUUCCAAUGGGGUAUCAUGGAUUAUUCAGGCGGUUAUGUUGUCCAUCUAGCUUCUGGUGCAGCAGGAUUCACAGCAGCUUAUUGGGUAAGCACCUAUAUAUUCGCCUUUCC